ACAGCAGUAGCCGCGGGAAUACAGAGGGUGCAAGCGUUAAUCGGAAUUACUGGGCGUAAAGCGCGCGUAGGUGGUUUGUUAAGUUGGAUGUGAAAGCCCCGGGCUCAACCUGGGAACUGCAUCCAAAACUGGCAAGCUAGAGUACGGUAGAGGGUGGUGGAAUUUCCUGUGUAGCGGUGAAAUGCGUAGAUAUAGGAAGGAACACCAGUGGCGAAGGCGACCACCUGGACUGAUACUGACACUGAGGUGCGAAAGCGUGGGGAGCAAACAGGAUUAGAUACCCCUGUAGUCCCUGUCUCUUAUAC
This 305-nucleotide ribosomal RNA is filed under the name uncultured bacterium. Its description in RNAcentral is "partial 16S ribosomal RNA". It matches the Rfam family "Bacterial small subunit ribosomal RNA", at positions 508 to 807 of the family's 1533-position model. The record is from RNAcentral.